AUUGAACGCUGGCGGCAGGCCUAACACAUGCAAGUCGAGCGGAUGAAGGGAGCUUGCUCCUGGAUUCAGCGGCGGACGGGUGAGUAAUGCCUAGGAAUCUGCCUGGUAGUGGGGGAUAACGUCCGGAAACGGGCGCUAAUACCGCAUACGUCCUGAGAGAGAAAGUGGGGGAUCUUCGGACCUCACGCUAUCAGAUGAGCCUAGGUCGGAUUAGCUAGUUGGUGGGGUAAAGGCCUGCCAAGGCGACGAUCCGUAACUGGUCUGAGAGGAUGAUCAGUCACACUGGAACUGAGACACGGUCCAGACUCCUACGGGAGGCAGCAGUGGGGAAUAUUGGACAAUGGGCGAAAGCCUGAUCCAGCCAUGCCGCGUGUGUGAAGAAGGUCUUCGGAUUGUAAAGCACUUUAAGUUGGGAGGAAGGGCAGUAAGUUAAUACCUUGCUGUUUUGACGUUACCAACAGAAUAAGCACCGGCUAACUUCGUG
Molecule: ribosomal RNA, 484 nt
Filed under: uncultured bacterium
Lineage: Bacteria
Description: partial 16S ribosomal RNA
Rfam family: Bacterial small subunit ribosomal RNA
Source: RNAcentral